CUACGUAGGUGACAAGCGUUAUCCGGAUUUACUGGGCGUAAAGGGCGUGUAGGCGGUCUUGCAAGUCAGAAGUGAAAUUCCUGAGCUCAACUCGGGCGCUGCUUCUGAAACUGCAGGACUUGAGUGCUGGAGGGGAUAGCGGAAUUCCUAGUGGAGCGGUAAAAUGCGCAAAUAUUAGGAAGAACACCGGUGGCGAAGGCGGCUAUCUGGACAGUAACUGACGCUGAGGCGCGAAAGCGUGGGGAGCAAACAGGAUUAGAUUCCCUGGUAGUCCACGCCGUAAACGAUGAAUACUAGGUGUAGGGGGUAUCGACUCCCUCUGUGCCGCAGUUAACACAAUAAGUAUUCCGCCUGGGGAGUACGGCCGCAAGGUUGAAACUCAAAUGAAUUGACGGGG
This 397-nucleotide ribosomal RNA is filed under the name uncultured bacterium. RNAcentral describes it as "partial 16S ribosomal RNA". It matches the Rfam family "Bacterial small subunit ribosomal RNA", at positions 523 to 918 of the family's 1533-position model. The record is from RNAcentral.